CAAACACUAGCCUAUAUUAAACCGGCUAUUACCAGGUCCUAAACACACAUAUGCACACACACACACAGUAGAAGUAGAGAGAGAGAGAAGUUAGCAGCUGGAAGUUUGCUACCUGCUCUCAGGAUAAACCACAUUUUAUUUUUUAGAGCCUCAGUAAAGCUAAUGUGGUCCACAUGGUCACAGCACACUGCUCCUCUACACCAACAGUUAACCCUGCAAUUAACCCGCACCUCAGCCAAACAUCAUUAGAGAGAGAGCAAAGGAGAGAGAGGAAGAUUGAGAAAGACGAGAGACAGAUAAAUGGAGAAAGUGGAAAAUGGUGAUCUUACGACCGCAGAGAACCGGCAGCUGUCCAUCCCUUUUCCCACACCGCCCUGCAUGGACUGAAACACCAACAGCCCAAUCCAAAUUCAGCUGAAAAUUUCCAUAGAGAAUAAUCAGGCUACAAUACUAACAGAUAAUAUUAUGAAUCUAAACAUAUUACUAGUAUUACCUGUUCAGGCUGGAACAAAAACCAUAUCAUGAUGAUAAAGGGAAUUUCAACAUUUGUGGAAAAUUAGAGUAUUCUAUUUGUAGCCAGUGUUAUUUUUAGUUUCUGUUGAAGUCAUUCUUUGUUGUUUGAGAAAAAAAGUGAUGCUGUAUGCUUUACAUCAAAUCAGUCCCCAGGGCUGCACUGUGCAGAAUAAUAAUCUGAAAUUGCAUAACCUAUGUCAUCUUUAUUCUGAAAACAUCUCCUCUCCUCUCCUCUCCUCUCCUCUCCUCUCCUCUCCUCCUCUCCUCUCCUGUAACUUGGCUACAAGUAACGUUAAUUUUUCUUAGUCUCUAGACAGAAUCAAAUGCCAUCUGUAAUAAGCAGCCAUGAUGAAAAUAUGUAUGAAUCACCAAGGGCAAGCCUGAGAAAUUUAAUUCUUUUAGCUUAUAUGACUCACUG
This is a long non-coding RNA of Siniperca chuatsi (mandarin fish), 931 nucleotides long. RefSeq lists it as uncharacterized. The record is from RefSeq and is a predicted model, not a curated record. NCBI's taxonomy places the organism in Eukaryota, Metazoa, Chordata, Actinopteri, Centrarchiformes, Sinipercidae. The transcript is spliced from 3 exons.